RNAcentral lists this long non-coding RNA (716 nucleotides) under Mus musculus (house mouse). RNAcentral's name for it is "RIKEN cDNA 1700028D13 gene (1700028D13Rik)". The record is from RNAcentral. Lineage: Eukaryota; Metazoa; Chordata; Mammalia; Rodentia; Muridae.
AAGGAGGCGGAGCCUUGCCCGCUCCCCACACUGUGUGAGUCCCAGGGACAAGUUUCUGGAGGGGAGUAUUAGUGACUUUUUUUCACUGCUGUAACCGAAUACCUCAAAGGGAUGAACUCAGGGGCAGGGGCAUUUCUUUGGACUCUGGGCUUGCACAGAAGUUCCCUACCUGAGAGAGGCUCAGAAUGAAACUCCUUGGGACUCUAAAGCUCCAUGUAAAAAGUCAGGCGCUCAAGAGACUGACGGAGGACAUCAUUAGGUCAAGGUCAGCCUGGACUGUAUAGCAAAACCCUGUCUGCCAAGAGAUGAAGAGAUGGAGAGAUGGCUCAGUGGUUAAGGGCACUGACUGCUCUUUCUGAGGACCCAGUGCAGCCUCAGAGUCAAUGAGAAGACAGACUCUGCACUUGGCGUGCAUUCACCCCCAAGUGUAUGGAAGCCAUCUUGAAGCAGCUUCUCAAUUCUCCUGCCAUGUCUCUCUGUUCAGGAUGUUCCUGCCACUGAACCCGAGCCUGGCAUCCAGCAAGCGCUAGCCAAGAGCUUAGCAGUGACCACUUGUCUACUCAUCGGGGGACGGCCAUCAGCCUGGAGGUGAACCAGGGAGAGUCUUGACUAUAGGCACGGCCCCAGCAUCAGUGGGAUCUUGGGGGAGACUUUGACCAUCAGCAGAGGAGGUUUGGGGGGACAAUGUUAUUAAAAUAAAAUGACCCUUGCCAAGA